This 357-nucleotide long non-coding RNA is filed under the name Monodelphis domestica (gray short-tailed opossum). RNAcentral's name for it is "lncRNA (ENSMODG00000047790.1)". The record is from RNAcentral. Lineage: Eukaryota; Metazoa; Chordata; Mammalia; Didelphimorphia; Didelphidae.
GCCUGACACAUGGUCGAUGCUUCAUAAAUACUGACUGAUUUGCUAUGUUCUAGGCACUGACCUCUGAGCUUUACAAACAUUAUCUCAUGUGGAAACCCAUUUGCAAAUUUAUGUAAAUGUUACCCAUUCUAUUUUUCAUUCAGACUUAUGAUUUUACUGGUCUAGGGAAAUUCGACCACGGAUACCCAUUAGCAUUGAUGCCAGUUACUGACCUUUAACAGACCUGCACUCUUCUCAAAGGAAGAUUCCAAAUGGAGAAAGAACAGCAAAUGAAACACCUUUGUUUAGAGGAAAAUGAUUAAUAUACUUGCUUUAAAAUCAAGGAAGAGAAAGAAGUUAAUCCCUUCUGAGACACAU